Small nucleolar RNA from Vitis vinifera (wine grape), 106 nucleotides. It matches the Rfam family "Small nucleolar RNA snoR97". Lineage: Eukaryota; Viridiplantae; Streptophyta; Magnoliopsida; Vitales; Vitaceae. The record is from Rfam.
AUUACACGGUUGGUAUAGAGUCUGAAAAACUCAGAAAGUGUGUGUUGUCAUCAGCUUCUUCUCUUGUAUGUCAACGAGAUUGGAGUUAAAUAACAGCACUACAUUA